GACGAACGCUGGCGGCGUGCUUAACACAUGCAAGUCGAACGGAAAGGCCCUGCUUUUGUGGGGUGCUCGAGUGGCGAACGGGUGAGUAACACGUGAGUAAACUGCCCUUGACUUUGGGAUAACUUCAGGAAACUGGGGCUAAUACCGGGUAGGAGCUCCUGCUGCAUGGUGGGGGUUGGAAAGUUUCGGCGGUUGGGGAUGGACUCGCGGCUUAUCAGCUUGUUGGUGGGGUAGUGGCUUACCAAGGCUUUGACGGGUAGCCGGCCUGAGAGGGUGACCGGCCACAUUGGGACUGAGAUACGGCCCAGACUCCUACGGGAGGCAGCAGGGGGGAAUAUUGCACAAUGGGCGGAAGCCUGAUGCAGCAACGCCGCGUGCGGGAUGACGGCCUUCGGGUUGUAAACCGCUUUCGCCUGUGACGAAGCGUGAGUGACGGUAAUGGGUAAAGAAGCACCGGCUAACUACGUG
Molecule: ribosomal RNA, 468 nt
Filed under: uncultured bacterium
Lineage: Bacteria
Description: partial 16S ribosomal RNA
Rfam family: Bacterial small subunit ribosomal RNA
Source: RNAcentral